This 119-nucleotide ribosomal RNA is filed under the name Triticum dicoccoides. Lineage: Eukaryota; Viridiplantae; Streptophyta; Magnoliopsida; Poales; Poaceae. The record is from RNAcentral.
GGAUGCGAUCAUACCAGCACUAAAGCACCGGAUCCCAUUAGAACUUCGAAGUUAAGCGUGCUUGGGCGAGAGUAGUACUAGGAUGGGUAACCUCCUGGGAAGUCCUCGUGUUGCAUUCC